RNAcentral lists this ribosomal RNA (446 nucleotides) under uncultured bacterium. RNAcentral's name for it is "bacterial SSU rRNA". It matches the Rfam family "Bacterial small subunit ribosomal RNA", at positions 28 to 456 of the family's 1533-position model. The record is from RNAcentral.
GAUGAACGCUGGCGGCGUGCUUAAUACAUGCAAGUCGAGCGAAGCGCUUUAACGGAAUUCUCCGGAAGGAAGAUAAAGUGACUGAGCGGCGGACGGGUGAGUAACGCGUGGGUAACCUGCCUCAUACAGGGGGAUAACAGUUAGAAAUGGCUGCUAAUACCGCAUAAGCGCACAGGACCGCAUGGUCUGGUGUGAAAAACUCCGGUGGUAUGGGAUGGACCCGCGUUGGAUUAGGUAGUUGGUGGGGUAACGGCCUACCAAGCCGACGAUCCAUAGCCGGCCUGAGAGGGUGGACGGCCACAUUGGGACUGAGACACGGCCCAGACUCCUACGGGAGGCAGCAGUAGGGAAUAUUGCACAAUGGGGGAAACCCUGAUGCAGCGACGCCGCGUUAUGGAAGAAGUAUCUCGGUAUGUAAACUUCUAUCAGCAGGGAAGACAAAGACG